This 178-nucleotide non-coding RNA is filed under the name Pseudodesulfovibrio indicus. The record is from RNAcentral. Lineage: Bacteria; Pseudomonadati; Thermodesulfobacteriota; Desulfovibrionia; Desulfovibrionales; Desulfovibrionaceae.
CAUAGGUUCGUUCGAUCAGGUGUCCUAUGACUCAAUAGGGAAUCCCGUGCGAAUCGGGAGCGGACCCGCCGCCGUGACGUCCUGUCGAACCGCUGCCACUCAUGCCACUGGGGGAAACCCUGGGAAGGCGGAAGCGGGAGGGACCAGCCGGAAGACCUGCCUGAUGCGAUCUCAGGAC